Molecule: ribosomal RNA, 821 nt
Filed under: Arthrobacter sp.
Lineage: Bacteria; Bacillati; Actinomycetota; Actinomycetes; Micrococcales; Micrococcaceae
Description: bacterial SSU rRNA
Rfam family: Bacterial small subunit ribosomal RNA
Source: RNAcentral
AACACAUGCAAGUCGAACGAUGAUCUCCAGCUUGCUGGGGGGAUUAGUGGCGAACGGGUGAGUAACACGUGAGUAACCUGCCCUUGACUCUGGGAUAAGCCUGGGAAACUGGGUCUAAUACCGGAUAUGACCGGCCGCCGCAUGGUGUGUCGGUGGAAAGCUUUUGCGGUUUUGGAUGGACUCGCGGCCUAUCAGCUUGUUGGUGGGGUAAUGGCCUACCAAGGCGACGACGGGUAGCCGGCCUGAGAGGGUGACCGGCCACACUGGGACUGAGACACGGCCCAGACUCCUACGGGAGGCAGCAGUGGGGAAUAUUGCACAAUGGGCGAAAGCCUGAUGCAGCGACGCCGCGUGAGGGAUGACGGCCUUCGGGUUGUAAACCUCUUUCAGUAGGGAAGAAGCUUUCGGGUGACGGUACCUGCAGAAGAAGCGCCGGCUAACUACGUGCCAGCAGCCGCGGUAAUACGUAGGGCGCAAGCGUUAUCCGGAAUUAUUGGGCGUAAAGAGCUCGUAGGCGGUUUGUCGCGUCUGCUGUGAAAGACCGGGGCUCAACUCCGGUUCUGCAGUGGGUACGGGCAGACUAGAGUGAUGUAGGGGAGACUGGAAUUCCUGGUGUAGCGGUGAAAUGCGCAGAUAUCAGGAGGAACACCGAUGGCGAAGGCAGGUCUCUGGGCAUUAACUGACGCUGAGGAGCGAAAGCAUGGGGAGCGAACAGGAUUAGAUACCCUGGUAGUCCAUGCCGUAAACGUUGGGCACUAGGUGUGGGGGACAUUCCACGUUUUCCGCGCCGUAGCUAACGCAUUAAGUGCCCCGCCUGGAGA